RNAcentral lists this ribosomal RNA (138 nucleotides) under uncultured eukaryote. Its description in RNAcentral is "partial 18S ribosomal RNA". It matches the Rfam family "Eukaryotic small subunit ribosomal RNA", at positions 1299 to 1458 of the family's 1831-position model. The record is from RNAcentral.
UGGUGGAGCGACUUGUCUGGUUAAUUCCGAUAACGAACGAGACUCUGGCCUAUUAAAUAGUUCGCCGAUUCCGAUCUGUCGGCGUUAACUUCUUAGAGGGACAAGUGGCUUUUAGCCACGCGAGAUUGAGCAAUAACA